This 428-nucleotide ribosomal RNA is filed under the name uncultured prokaryote. RNAcentral's name for it is "bacterial SSU rRNA". It matches the Rfam family "Bacterial small subunit ribosomal RNA", at positions 355 to 774 of the family's 1533-position model. The record is from RNAcentral.
UGGGGAAUCUUCCGCAAUGGACGAAAGUCUGACGGAGCAACGCCGCGUGAGUGAAGAAGGUUUUCGGAUCGUAAAGCUCUGUCUUCAGGGACGAAUGUGAGAUAUGUGAAUAAUGUAUUUCAAUGACGGUACCUGAGGAGGAAGCCACGGCUAACUACGUGCCAGCAGCCGCGGUAAUACGUAGGUGGCAAGCGUUGUCCGGAAUUAUUGGGCGUAAAGAGCGCGUAGGCGGGAUAAUCAGUCUGCUGUGAAAGUGCGGGGCUCAACCCCGUGAUUGCAGUGGAAACAGUUAUGCUUGAGUGCAGGAGAGGAAAGUGGAAUUCCCAGUGUAGCGGUGAAAUGCGUAGAUAUUGGGAGGAACACCAGUGGCGAAGGCGACUUUCUGGACUGUGUCUGACGCUGAGGCGCGAAAGCCAGGGUAGUGAACG